ACUGCGCCUGCGCUGGAGACCGGCUCAGACCGGUCCCCUCAGCCCGGCUCCCCCUCCUUAUUCAGGGCCAGCCUAUUGCGAUGCAUUCGGCAGGGAGAAGUGGAAGCGAGGAGACGCGAGAAGCGGAAGGUUGGUUCCUUACGACGGCCUGACACGGGCUCGAUUCUGUGAAGACCAAACUUCGAGGUGCUCAGCUAACCCCUGUAACUUGAAUCGUUUUCCUCUACCCCCAGCCUGGCGCUCACCCCUUUAAAAAAUUCCAUCAUUCGCUCCUUCAUUCCGCAGACACCUAUUGAGCUUGCCUCGUGCUGGGCUGUAGGGUCUCUAUGAGCUCACAGCGUAGUGGUGGAGACAACCAAGUACACACACAAUCCCCGAAAGGUGUAUCCAAGUGUUAACAGAGUGCAGAGAGGGGACUGACUUCAUCCUCUUUGGGGAAGAGGCAGUGACCAUGACGGUUUUGUGUUUUGAGUCGGAUGUUAAAGGAUGAGGAGUUAGCCAGAGUGAGUACUGAAGAAGAGAACACUCCAGGCCAAAGGACCAGAGUACAAAUGUAGGGAGGGGUGAAAAGGCCAGGUGUGUUUAGGAAUGGGGAGCGAGCGUGAAUUGUGAGUGAGGAGUGAGAUCCCUUGGGCCUCAGCAUAAACACCAGUUCCUUGGGGAAGCCUUCCCUUAGCCCUAGACGGGCUUGGGUCCCCUUGCUAUAUGUUCUCAGCUCCCUGUAGUUCUGUCAGAAUGCACUUUACAUUUGUGUAGAGAGAUCUGUCUCAAGGUGUGAGGUGUAAAUGUGAAAUAAGCAUCUCAGUCUCAUUGUGAUUACUAAGGCUUGGUAUUGUCCAUCUUACACUUCAGUUUCAUAUUUGGCUCCUCCAGUGGGUAGCUCAACUUGUAGCUCUAAAGACUCUUAUAGCCCAUGUUUGUUUGUUUUUAUUCUGGGAGUGUUGAGAUUGGGGUUAAGGGCAAGCAUUUUCUUAGGGGAUUUCCUGUGAUAACAAUUGGGAGUCAUAAGCAGCUUCAGUGGAUCCUGUGAUCACUUGGGGGAUUUGGGGACUGUUAUUCCAGCUGACCCCAGCCUUUAGUCUCAUGACACUUUACUCUUUGCCUCUCACCUCACACCAUGAUAUCUGCUAGCAAGUCAGUAGCCACAAUUUCGUCUCUCCACAGUCCAGACUCGGGUCUGUGGCCCAGGCAAGAUCUACUUUCCUUAUCUGUAUCUCUCAAAUCUGAAGGGCAGUUCUUGCUACACACUUUCUCUCCAUACCACACCUACAAUAGGAAUCAAAAUUUAAUAGGCCUUGUGAUAAAUAUUUGUGGAUAAAUGACAUAGGGCCCUGCUCUCACAGAGUGUACAUUCUAGUUGAGGAAACAGGCCAUAAUAAAUCCAAUACAUACACAGGAA
Molecule: long non-coding RNA, 1399 nt
Organism: Eptesicus fuscus (big brown bat)
Lineage: Eukaryota; Metazoa; Chordata; Mammalia; Chiroptera; Vespertilionidae
Exons: 2
Source: RefSeq, a predicted model, not a curated record